GUGAUAAUGAAGUGUUCACAAAUGUUUCUUUCAAGAAAAACGUCACAUUUUUUGUUGUGUCCUUUUUGAUCAUUAGAUACAAUGGAGAAUAAACAAUUAGUACCAUUUAAAGCUGAAAAAGAACAACCAGAUAAACUGUUCUACAAAACGUCUUAUGGUGAAGAGCAAUUUCAGGCCAUUCAGGUGAAACAACCAAAAAUGUCAAGUAACUCAAGCAGAUUACAGAAUACUACUAGUGACACUGUCCCAGAAUUAAACAGACUGUAUAAUACAAAACCUGGAUUACGUGAAACAACCAAAAAAGUCAAGUAACUCAAGCAGAUUAC
This 326-nucleotide long non-coding RNA is filed under the name Androctonus crassicauda. Lineage: Eukaryota; Metazoa; Arthropoda; Arachnida; Scorpiones; Buthidae. The record is from RNAcentral.